UACAGAGGUCCCGAGCGUUGUUCGGAUUCAUUGGGCGUAAAGGGUGCGUAGGUGGCGCCGUAAGUGGGGUGUGAAAUCCCGGGGCUUAACCCCGGGACUGCAUUCCAUACUGCGGUGCUUGAGGACUGGAGAGGAGACUGGAAUUUCCGGUGGAGCGGUGAAAUGCAUUGAGAUCGGAAAGAACACCAACGGCGAAAGCACUCUGCUGGGCCGACACUGACACUGAGAGACGAAAGCUAGGGGAGCAAAUGGG
Molecule: ribosomal RNA, 253 nt
Filed under: uncultured bacterium
Lineage: Bacteria
Description: partial 16S ribosomal RNA
Rfam family: Bacterial small subunit ribosomal RNA
Source: RNAcentral